UACGGGGGGGGUAAGCGUUGUUCGGAAUUACUGGGCGUAAAGGGCUCGUAGGCGGCCAACUAAGUCAUACGUGAAAUCCCUCAGCUUAACUGGGGAACUGCGUGUGAUACUGGAUGGCUUGGAUUUGGGAGAGGGAUGCGGAAUUCCAGGUGUAGCGGUGAAAUGCGUAGAUAUCUGGAGGAACACCGGUGGCGAAGGCGGCGUUCUGGACUGCAACUGACACUGAGGAACGAAAGCCAGGGGAGCAAACGGG
This 253-nucleotide ribosomal RNA is filed under the name uncultured bacterium. RNAcentral describes it as "partial 16S ribosomal RNA". It matches the Rfam family "Bacterial small subunit ribosomal RNA", at positions 524 to 776 of the family's 1533-position model. The record is from RNAcentral.